GACGGGACCGCACAGCGGUGAUGAUGUGGUUUAAUUCGAUGCAACGCGAAAACCUUACCACCUUUGACAUGUACGGAAUCCUUUAGAGAUAGAGGAGUGCUCGAAAGAGAGCCGUAACACAGGUGCUGCAUGGCUGUCGUCAGCUCGUGUCGUGAGAUGUUGGGUUAAGUCCCGCAACGAGCGCAACCCUUGUCAUUAGUUGCUACGAAAGGGCACUCUAAUGAGACUGCCGGUGACAAACCGGAGGAAGGUGGGGAUGACGUCAAGUCCUCAUGGCCCUUAUAGGUGGGGCUACACACGUCAUACAAUGGCUGGUACAAAGGGUUGCCAACCCGCGAGGGGGAGCCAAUCCCAUAAAGCCAGUCGUAGUCCGGAUCGCAGUCUGCAACUCGACUGCGUGAAGUCGGAAUCGCUAGUAAUCGUGGAUCAGCAUGUCACGGUGAAUACGUUCCCGGGUCUU
RNAcentral lists this ribosomal RNA (460 nucleotides) under uncultured Comamonas sp. RNAcentral's name for it is "bacterial SSU rRNA". It matches the Rfam family "Bacterial small subunit ribosomal RNA", at positions 917 to 1381 of the family's 1533-position model. Lineage: Bacteria; Pseudomonadati; Pseudomonadota; Betaproteobacteria; Burkholderiales; Comamonadaceae. The record is from RNAcentral.